RNA transcript from Piliocolobus tephrosceles (Ugandan red Colobus), 864 nucleotides. It is a transcript of the gene named 60S ribosomal protein L27 pseudogene, with no coding region annotated. Lineage: Eukaryota; Metazoa; Chordata; Mammalia; Primates; Cercopithecidae. The transcript has a single exon. The record is from RefSeq and is a predicted model, not a curated record.
CUUCAUCCUCAAAAAAUACUUGAAAAUACUUGCCAUGUCUGGGCAUGCUGGCCCACACCUGUAACCCCAGCACUUUGGGAGGCCAUGGUAAGCAACUGCUUGAUCCCAAGAGUUUGAGAUCAGCCUGGGCAGCAUAGUAAAACUCUGUCUCUACUACAAAUACAAAAAGGCAGCCAGGCAUGGCACCAUGAGUGUGUAGUCCCAGCUACCUGGGAGGCUGAGGUAGGAGGAUGAUUUGAGCUCAGGGGGUUGAGGCUGCAGUGAGUGAUGACUGUGCUACUGCACCCCAGCCUAGCCUGGAGGACCACAGUGAGGCCCUCUCUCAAAAAAAGAAAGAAAGAAAAUGCCAGUCUGCGGAUAUAUUUUUCAAAAAAUUGUAGCCCCUUUUUGCUGUAGGCCUGAGUGGUUGCUGCCGAAAUGGGCAAGUUCAUGAAACCUGGGAAGGUGGUGCUUGUCCUGGCUGGACGCUACUCUGGACGCAAAGCCGUCAUCGUGAAGAACAUUGAUGAUGGCACCUCAGAUCGCCCCUACAGCCAUGCUCUGGUGGCUGGAAUUGACCGCUACCCUCGCAAAGUGACAGCUGCCAUGGGCAAGAAGAAGAUCGCCAAGAGGCCAAAGAUCAAGUCUUUUGUGAAAGUUUAUAACUACAAUCACCUAAUGCCCACAAGGUACUCUGUGGAUAUCCCCUUGGACAAAACUGUCGUCAAUAAGGAUGUCUUCAGAGAUCCCGCUCUUAAACGCAGGGCCCAACGAGAGGCCAAGGUCAAGUUUGAAGAGAGGUACAAGACAGGCAAGAACAAGUGGUUCUUCCAGAAGCUGCAGUUUUAGAUGCUUUGUUUUGGUCAUUAAAAAUUAAAAAGGAAA